GGCACUUGAUCCAAAGAGAGCCUCUGAAAUGGCUGCACCCGAUAUCUCAGCAGGUUACCCCAUAGAGUGUUGAGUGGGCAACUCAAUUAUUCCCUCACCUGAAGAAGUCUGAAAGCAAGACGAAGAGAGUCCUUUUGCAAGAGUGAUGUACAAAGCCCUACGGACAUACAGACUUCGUGUGCAAGUCCUGUGGAGGAGAGGAGAUGAGAGAGCAAUCGAGUCAAGGUCUCACUAGGAUGUCCAGGCUGGCCUCGAACUCCUGGGCUCAAGCAAUCCACCUGCCUUGGCCUCUGAAAGUGCAGGAAUUACAGCUGCUGUGCCCUGAGGGGUGAGGGAAAUGUGGUCGCCUAAAACACCAUCAAAGGUUGCUGCUUAAACACUUCCCUCAGCCAUAUAUGAAGGCUAAAUCAGAUAAAGAUCCCAGGAAGUGUGCAACAGGCACAAGAUUCAAAGGAAGCAGGCUGCUUUCUUGCAGCAAGACAAGGCAAGUUGGAAGAGAGGAUUAUUUUUCUUCUUCAAAGCUCUCACCCUCAGGAGGAUUCCUAUCAACUACUUUGGGAAAGAGUUUUUGAUUUGUGCUGGAUUGUUGCUGAGCAUUAAGGACAUCCUACCAAAGUCCAGGAAACUGCUAAUUAAUCCUGCAGGAGACUGCAAAGACACACUUGCCAUUCAUCCAGCAAGUGCUAUUUAAAAGCCUGUUGUGAGCAUCUGAGUGCAUUUGGGCUAAAGAGCUCAUGGACUAGACGCAACAGGAGCUAUACAGACUACCAGUGCACCACCAGCGUGCACCAGAAUGCAUGUCCCAGCAAACAACUCUCAAUUGGCCAAUUUGCAACAGGGCACCCUUUAGCCUCUUUGGCCCUGGUCAUUUCCUUCCCACCCUGCCCUUUUGGAGGCAUCAACAUUGAGCUCAAAA
RNAcentral lists this long non-coding RNA (916 nucleotides) under Homo sapiens (human). Its description in RNAcentral is "novel transcript". Lineage: Eukaryota; Metazoa; Chordata; Mammalia; Primates; Hominidae. The record is from RNAcentral.